Molecule: non-coding RNA, 65 nt
Organism: Dipodomys ordii (Ord's kangaroo rat)
Lineage: Eukaryota; Metazoa; Chordata; Mammalia; Rodentia; Heteromyidae
Source: Rfam
GGUGGCUCAGUGGUAGAGUGCUUGCCUUGCAUGCAUGAAACCCUGGGUUCGAUUCCUCAGCACCA